UGGCGGGUAGCUCAGUGGUUAGAGCGCGAAUAUCCUUGUUCGACUUUAUUGCCUUCACGGGACGAAUGAAUGAGGGUUAUCGACUUAAGUUCGCGAGGUCGCAAGUUCAAUUCUUGCUCCGCCAC
This 125-nucleotide transfer RNA is filed under the name Calothrix sp. C42_A2020_038. It matches the Rfam family "tRNA". From Rfam's summary of the family: Transfer RNA (tRNA) molecules are approximately 80 nucleotides in length. The record is from Rfam by way of RNAcentral. Lineage: Bacteria; Bacillati; Cyanobacteriota; Cyanophyceae; Nostocales; Calotrichaceae.